Long non-coding RNA from Perognathus longimembris pacificus (Pacific pocket mouse), 155 nucleotides. RefSeq lists it as uncharacterized. The transcript has 3 exons. NCBI's taxonomy places the organism in Eukaryota, Metazoa, Chordata, Mammalia, Rodentia, Heteromyidae. The record is from RefSeq and is a predicted model, not a curated record.
GAGGAUCAUGGUGCGAAGCCAGCCUGGGCAAGAAAAUUCUGUGAGACUGUUAGCUCGAAUUAACCACUCAAGAACAGGAAGUGGUGCUGUGGCUUAAGUGGUAGAGUGCUAGCCUUGAGUACAAAGAGGCUCAGAGACAGCACCCAGGCCCUGAG